GGAUUGUGAAUGGAGUAGUCUGUGGAAUAGUGCUGUUGUUGUUGCUAUAUAAAGCUAAGGCAGACAGAGUGGCUCCAGGACUCUAGUAAAUCAGUAAACUAAGACUGUUCCUCUCUGUGAAGAGUCAGAUAGCUGCUAUGAGCACUCUUUGUAUGUUCUUUAACUAUGCUGUUUAUGAACAACUUUAUUUUCUUCAGUAAAAGUUUUACAGUGGUACCUUGGGUUAACACUUCAGGUUACAUACGCUUCAGGUUACAGACUCCGCUAACCCAGAAAUAGUACCUCGGGUUAAGAACUUUGCUUCAGGAUGAGAACAGAAAUCGCUCAGCGGCAGCGGGAGGCCCCAUUAACUAAAGUGGUACAUCAGGUUAAGAACAGUUAAAGGUUAAGAAGGGACCUCCAGAAUGAAUUAAGUUCUUAACCCAAGGUACCACUGUAUUUCUGUUUAUGAAAGAAGACUCUGCAUUGAUUAAUUUACUACUGUGCGACAUAAUUGGUCUGUGGGAGGAAGUGCAGCUCAGUGGAAAAGCAUAAGUGUUGUAUGCAAAAGCCCCCAGUUUCAGGGCUGAUCUACCUAGAGGUUCCUCCACACACCCCAGGAUUUCACACCUGAAAUCCUACAGAACUACUGACAUUCAAUGUAGAGCAGCCUUCACUGACCUGGUACCCUCCAAAAACCUGGGCUGAUGGGAGUUCUGGUCCAAAGCAUCCACAGGGCAGCAGGUUGGAUAAGGAUGGGGUAGACAGCAGGAAGCAAAAUAGACGAAGGGUCCUACUCAGUACAUGGCAGCUUCCAGUGUAUCUUGCUCUUCACUGGUCUGCAUAUUCUGGUCUCCGGUAAUCGGUCCUCAAAGAGCAAACCAGAGUCCCAUGGCACUGCCCCUGAAACUUAUUUACGGAAAAGAGGAGUGCAUAAAAAUGUAAUAAAUUGUAGCCCUAUUGUUGCCAAUAUGCAUUUUGUUUAAAAUAAAUUCUGCGAGUCAUAAGCAAGUGGUAUUUCAGGAGUGAGCAGUUACCUUUCCCUGCUCCCCCUCCCCUUCAACCUUUCAUUUCCUAAGUGCUUUGGCUCCAUCUCCAUCAUCCAUUUUUUUGCCUAACAAGAUUGUAUGAUUAUGAAAACAUGUCAAAGAACAUUCAUUAUUGCCUCGAGCCUCCAUAAUAAAAGAAAGGGCCAUCAUAUUUCUAAAUGGCAUUUAUAAUCACAACAAUUUGCAGAGGUAAAUUAAAAGCCCUGAAGAUAGCCAAGAGGUAAACAACCUUGCAAAAUUAUACCAGAGCACUUGUAGAGUGAGGCAUUAACUUGGAUGGAAAUGGUUCAUUAGGCUUUUAAUCUUGAGAAGCUUCCACAGCAGCCCACGCGGGGAACAGACUUUUAAAAAAUGAAAUACACAUGCCUGUUUUUAGACACACAUUCACAUGUACACAUUUGUAUAUGCACACACAACAUUAUUAUUAUCAGUAUUUAUUAAACUUGUAUACUGCCCUUUGUCUCUAGAUCUCAGGGCAGUUCACAAAACAGGCAAGAUGGCAGAGCCUCAGAUUGCUUGGGAAGGAACCAGGAAAGGAGGAACUUUAGGGAGCUGUAGGAAGGUGGGGACCUUUGGGAAGUGUUGCUGUAUUCACUAGUCCUGGCCUCCUGAGCUGUUUUGUUUCUUUGAAUAAAGAGUUUACUUCACCAAAGUCAUGUGAGUUAUUGCUGACCUGCUCUCAGCACCCGCUCUUGACACUCCCUUCACAUAAACUGGGGCAAUUGUGAAAAUGUUGAAAUGAGUGGCAGUGAAACUAAGUGGUUGGGGAGCUGCAGGCAUGAGGAAGCAAUGCUGAAGAGACAAGGGUUGAAUUGACAUCAUGCUCCCCCUCCCCAAAGGUCUGAGAUUGCCUGUCCUGCAGAAGAUCCACAGCUGUAGAGGAAGACAACGCUCUGGUCCAGGCGAGAUGCAGUAUCUCCUCUCCCUGCUUGCUCACCCUUUUGACUCCCUCCUUUCCUUUUGACAGUCCCAGGUAGGCUUUGUCAACCUGUUCCAGUCAAAACCAUGCUGCUCUGGUUCAUAAUGUGGACUUCAGCUGGUGGUUAUUUUCAAGAAUGUAUGCAGUUUUGUGCAGACAUCUCCCUAAUCUAUGCAUUUUUGUAAACUUUGGGGGUUGGAUAACUGCACCAGAAAAUUCAGGGAAAAGCAAAUUCUGAAGUCUAGGUGCUUUUCAAUUCACACAUUGGUUCAGGAGUACAAAUUAGGCAAUAAGGAUCCAAUCCAAACGAAAUUUCUUACCCAUCCCUAGAGAAAGAUAACCAUUUUGCACAUGCAUAACGUUUUCAGGUGUUUUACACAUUUGCAGAAUGUCCGAAUUCGCCCUCCUUACAUAACAUACAGAUCCACAGAUCAAUUGCACUCUCUGUUGCUUCUCAGAAAUUAGAACACAAGAGGCAAGUGCUUCUGUUCUUCUGACAUCCAGUCAACAUCCUUUUGUCGGGAUGCACUGGCGUGCUUUACUGAUACCACAGACCUCCCCCACUGCUACCUGGAACAACCUGUGUUUUUUGUUUAGGCAAAGAGGCUAUCAUUCAUUCUGACAGCUCCAAAAAUAUGCAUUCAGAUGAAUUUUCCUUUAUAAAAAAUGCAUGCAAAAGCUCCUUCAAGGUUACUUCCAAAACUACAGCUUGUCAGAAGAUGGUGCUAUCAGGCAAUUUAUAUCAGUGCCAAGAGUUUCUGUUUUAAGUUUUCCGUUUUUUUAUUAAAAAACCCCAACAAAAACUCAGUCCCUUAGAAAAUAUAUAUUAAAAAUGGUUGCUUAGCUUGAAACACAUUAAUUUUUUAUGAAGCAAAUUAUUCCAAAUUCUGCUAUAAACAGAACUUCGACCUUGGACUAGAUAAAAGUCAUCAGAUCAGCGCUGGAGGGAUCCAGGGCUAGGGAACCUACAGCUCUAUAGGUCUUGAUGGACUCCAACUCCCAUCAGCCUUUGCCAGCUUAGCCAUUGAUGAGGGAUGAUGUGGCUUGUAUCCCAUCUGGAGGGUAACCGGUUCGCCAUCCCUGAUUUAGUCCAACCACUGACCAAUGAAGGAAACCCAGUGCAAGGACAUCCCUAUUAAAUCUCUGGUCCAGCAAGGGCAAAUCAAGCUCUACCCCUCUAGGCAACUGGUUCCACUGUCAAACUACACUUAGUGUCAAUACAUUUCUCCUAAAACUGAACCAAAAUCUACCCUCCUGCAACUUAAGCCUAUUAAAUUAAGUCCUUUUCUGUAUAAUUUUUAUUAAGUUUUUCUAUUUUACAUUUUAGAAUAUUCAUUUAAACAACCUUACCAUAUCAAUGACUUCCCUUCUUCGCUUUCCAUGGUUCAGUUUGCAUGCCAUAGACCGCUGCAUAGUUUACAUAAACUAAACCAUUCAGUAUUUCAUUUUUACAUCAAUCAAAACUUAUUUACACUGUUGAAUUUAUCUUAAAGCUGCCAACGUUUUCAAAUGUACACAAUUUUCACCCAUAUACUCAAUAAACAUUUUCUAAUCAUCUUUAAAUGUAUGUUCUUCUUGUUCUCUUAUUCUACAUGUUAGGUCCACAAGCUGCACAUAUUCCAUCAGUUUAAGUUGCCAUUCUUCUUUAGUUGGGACCUCGCUCGUUUUCCAUUUUUGGUCUAAUGAAACACAGGCCGCAGUAGUGGGAUACACAAAUUGCCUUUUUUGACACCUGGAAAUUUCCGUCUGAAUUAUCCCCAGCAAAAAGGACUCUGUUUUUUGGAGUUUUGUUUGUUUGUUUUGAAAAUUACUUUUAAACAUUUUUUUUCAAUUCAUUAUAAAUUAUUUCCCAAUAUUCUUUUACCCUUUUAUAUUAAAUAUUAAAGUCCUGGCCACUGCAGCAGCAGAAAGUAGGGCCCCAUCUGCACCAUAUACCGUAUCUAAAGCAUCAUCAUACCACUUUUAACAGUUAUGGCUUCCCCCAAAGAAUCCUAGGAAGUAUAGUUCGUUAAAGGUGGUAAGAGUUGUUAGGAGACCUCCAUUCCCACACAGAGCAACUGUUCCCAGAGUUCACUGGGAAGAGGGACUAAUAAGGAAUUGCAGCCCGGGGUGGUAACAGGAGGUCUCCUAACAACUCUCACCACCCUUAACACACAACAGUUCCAAGGUUUCUUUGGGAGAAUCUGUGACUCUUCAAAGUGGUACAACACUGCUUUAAAUGAAUAGUGCAGAUGGGGACCAAAUCCCUUUGGUAUUUCCCUCAGAUUCAUUUCUGAUAGUUUUAUUUUAAAAUAUAUAUAUAUAUUUAUUGAUUUUCCAACCAUUUAAACACAAUAAAACAGAAAAAACAAAAAAGGAAAAGAAAAAGCAAAGAAAAGAAAAAACAUAAGAUUAACAAAACAAGACACAAACCAUUUAAAACACAAAACAAUUUCAAUAUCUUAACUUUCAUUCCCUUAUUUCCACAAGCUCCUCACGCCUCCCUUUUUGUAUUCCACUUCUAUUAAUUGUUUCAGCAAUUCCUUUCCAUCUUCCUCUGUUUUCUAUCCUACAAUUAUCUUAACAUAUUCUAAUCUUAUUUUUCCCUUUAAUACUCUAUUAGUCUAUUUAUACUUAAUUCCUUAUAGCAUUUCUACUAAAGCCAUAUAACUUCAUUCCAACAUUUUUCUAACAUUCAUUAUUUUUACAAUAUUUCUAUAAAUAGUCUUAAACUUUUCCCAGUCUUCUUCCACCGACUCUUCUCCCUGGUCUCGGAUUUCUGCCAGUCGUUUCCGCCAAUUCCAUAUAGUCCAUCAACUUCCUCUGCCAUUCUUCCCGGAUAGAUAAAUCUUGUGUCUUCCAGUACUUCACAAUGAGUAUUCUUGCUGCUAUUGUUGCAUACGUGAAAAGGGUUCUAUCCUUCUUUAACACCAAUUGGCCGACCAUGCCCAGGAGAAAGGCCUCUGGUUUCUUCAAAAGGGUAUAUUUAAGUACCUUUUUCAUUUCGUUAUGAAUCAUCUCCCAAAGUGUCUUAAUCCUUGGGCAUGUCCACCAAAGGUGAACUCGAAUCCUCAAAUUCGUCUGUUUUUCUUUAAGUUCAGUCAUAGCAAGCGUCAGCUUAUAUUCAUCAAGUUGCUUCUGUAGGGCUGGGGCUCUCUUUCUCUUUCUCUCCAGCUGUGUUUCUUUACAUUCAGCAACAACAGCUUUUUCCCUGGCCUUCUCCGCAGUUUGCCGUAUCGAAAUAGGUUCCUGUGUCAAUUUCUGGGUAGUUUCUAUAUUAGUAUUAUUUAUACUUUCUAUAUUUCUGAUAGUUUUAGACUCAUUUGCUAAAAAAAUAAAAAUGACAAAUUUGUGAAUGUCAUAACCAAUUCACUUGGUUCAGAAUCCGAACAUGCAUGCAGUUUCUGCUGUGAAUUAUUCCUAAUUGUGGCAGUUAAAUUUGAACAAAGUGCACCUUCUGCCAUGAGGAUGAACUAAUUAGUUUUUGUUUUUAUUAUUCAUACUAUUUAAAUUACCAUAGAAUAUAUUGUAUAUAUUAAAAUUACCCAGUUAAAAUCAACAGCACAAGGCACUAAAAAGAUACGCAUGAACAACAAUAAAAAAAAUCAACAGAGAGGAGCCAAUACAAGCACAGCCAAAGAAAAUGUAAAAGAAAAUUUAGCAAGCAAGCCAGCCAGCAAAACUCUUGCCAAUUUACCACUAAAAAAGAAAACAAGUUAGAACAAUUCAAGACUUGAGGAAAUACAAAGGCUAUUUGCAUGCAUAACCAUGUAGACAUUCAUGAAUCAGAUUGACCCAUGCCCCUUUCUAAUAUCUCGGAUGGCCAUCUGACAGGGUUGGUGCCACCAGUGAGUAAGCCCUGAUGUCAGUGGAUGUACACCAGGCCUUAUUAGCUAAGGCCCUCUAACGCUGAACCAAGGGAAUAGGGUGCCCAUUUCCCAGGCACAAGUUUAGCAUCGUCUGGUUUUGCCCUCAUUUCAACACAGCAACAUGUUGACCAAAGAAAGACUUGUUUGGUUUAAAUUAAGGAUUGCCUUGCAUUCUUGGAAGGCUUUAACAGAGGAGUAAAUAAAUGAAUCAACUAUUAGUCACAAUGGAAUUGUUCCACCACUACUUCUGCAGGCAGAAUGCUGCUGCAUACUAGUUGCUGGGGAUCACAAGUGAGAGGAGUGCUAUUACACUAGGAUCUUGUUUAUGGGCUUUGAAGAUGCACCUGGUUGGCCACUGUGCAAACAGAAUGGUUGAACAUAUAGGCCUAUAGCCUGAUACAGUGGGGCUCUUCUGUUCUUACCUUUUGUUGCAUGCUAUUUCCAUUGCCAGAUGAGGAGGCAUGGAUGUGGUUAAGAAGUGGACUGCUUUACAAUUAAGAUGAAGGGCACUCUGCUUAUACAUUCAGAAUGAAUCUAUGAUGCAGUGAAAUCAAUAUUAUUUCUCCUCAAAAGCAGAUACUUCAACCUCUAUUUUCUAAUGUACUAAUAGUUUUUCUCUCCCGCUUUUUUCAUCUCACAGCAUGAUGCAAACACACCCACACCCAGAGCAUUUCUGCAUUUUUUCUGGAGAAACAAAGGACACAUUAUUAUUAUUAUUAUUAUUAUUAUUAUUAUGAAACCCUAAGAACAAAAUUUGCCUGCCUUUUGGUCUCCUUGCGUUAUGACUGGCUCUCUCAGCC
This 6595-nucleotide long non-coding RNA is filed under the name Podarcis lilfordi (Lilford's wall lizard). The record is from RNAcentral. Lineage: Eukaryota; Metazoa; Chordata; Lepidosauria; Squamata; Lacertidae.